RNAcentral lists this ribosomal RNA (468 nucleotides) under uncultured bacterium. Its description in RNAcentral is "partial 16S ribosomal RNA". It matches the Rfam family "Bacterial small subunit ribosomal RNA", at positions 28 to 507 of the family's 1533-position model. The record is from RNAcentral.
GACGAACGCUGGCGGCGUGCUUAACACAUGCAAGUCGAACGGAAAGGCCCUGCUUUUGUGGGGUGCUCGAGUGGCGAACGGGUGAGUAACACGUGAGUAACCUGCCCUUGACUUUGGGAUAACUUCAGGAAACUGGGGCUAAUACCGGAUAGGAGCUCCUGCUGCAUGGUGGGGGUUGGAAAGUUUCGGCGGUUGGGGAUGGACUCGCGGCUUAUCAGCUUGUUGGUGGGGUAGUGGCUUACCAAGGCUUUGACGGGUAGCCGGCAUGAGAGGGUGACCGGCCACAUUGGGACUGAGAUACGGACCAGACUCCUACGGGCGGCAGCAGUGGGGAAUAUUGCACAAUGGGCGGAAGCCUGAUGCAGCAACGCCGCGUGCGGGAUGCCGGCCUUCGGGUUGUAAACCGCUUUCGCCUGUGACGAAGCGUGAGUGACGGUAAUGGGUAAAGAAGCACCGGCUAACUACGUG